GAUUGCCCAUCAGAAAAAAACAAAAAGUGAAGGGCAACUCGGCAAGAAACGUAUCCUUGGAAUUGGUACAUAUCCAUGAAAUCUUGUGAUGCAUCUAUGAGGUGGUUGGAAUGGAAUUGCAGGCAUUCCCAGUGAGUACCGAUCAGACCCUGGACAUCUGAAAAUUCUUCCCAGG
RNAcentral lists this long non-coding RNA (175 nucleotides) under Cervus hanglu yarkandensis (Yarkand deer). RNAcentral's name for it is "lncRNA (ENSCHYG00000006147.1)". Lineage: Eukaryota; Metazoa; Chordata; Mammalia; Artiodactyla; Cervidae. The record is from RNAcentral.